CCGGGAGGCGGCGGACGGCUCAGGACAACGGUUGCACCCCCCGCGGCGGUCCCUGCUAGCCGGACACCGCUGGCAACCCGGCGCCAAGACGUGCGCGCAAGGGCGGGCGCCCGCGGGCGAGCAGCGUGACGCAGCGACGGCCCGCCCGGGCUUCCGGGGCAUCACCCGGUCGGCGCGGUCGCGGCGCGCCGAGGGCCCGACGCCUGGCGGAGAA
Molecule: ribosomal RNA, 214 nt
Filed under: Giardia sp. 5762_A1
Lineage: Eukaryota; Fornicata; Diplomonadida; Hexamitidae
Description: partial small subunit ribosomal RNA
Source: RNAcentral